AUUGAACGCUGGCGGCAUGCUUUACACAUGCAAGUCGAACGGCAGCGCGGGGCAACCUGGCGGCGAGUGGCGAACGGGUGAGUAAUAUAUCGGAACGUACCCAAGAGUGGGGGAUAACGUAGCGAAAGUUACGCUAAUACCGCAUACGAUCUAAGGAUGAAAGUGGGGGAUCGCAAGACCUCAUGCUCCUGGAGCGGCCGAUAUCUGAUUAGCUAGUUGGUGAGGUAAAGGCUCACCAAGGCGACGAUCAGUAGCUGGUCUGAGAGGACGACCAGCCACACUGGAACUGAGACACGGUCCAGACUCCUACGGGAGGCAGCAGUGGGGAAUUUUGGACAAUGGGCGCAAGCCUGAUCCAGCAAUGCCGCGUGAGUGAAGAAGGCCUUCGGGUUGUAAAGCUCUUUUGUCAGGGAAGAAACGGUAGAGGCUAAUAUCCUUUGCUAAUGACGGUACCUGAAGAAUAAGCACCGGCUAACUAC
Molecule: ribosomal RNA, 479 nt
Filed under: uncultured bacterium
Lineage: Bacteria
Description: bacterial SSU rRNA
Rfam family: Bacterial small subunit ribosomal RNA
Source: RNAcentral